GAGUUGCUAGUAACCGCGUAUCAGCGAUGGCGCGGUGAAUACGUACCCGGGCCUUGUACACACCGCCCGUCACGUCAUGGGAGUUGUCAACGCCUGAAGUCCGUGGGCCAACCUGGAGCUUGUCGAAGGGGGGCAGCGGCCGAGGGCUGGGGCAGCGACUGGGACGAAGUCGUAACAAGGUAGCCGUACCGGAAGGUGCGGCUGGAUCACCUCCUUU
Molecule: ribosomal RNA, 217 nt
Filed under: Obscuribacter sp. (SeqCode)
Lineage: Bacteria; Bacillati; Candidatus Melainabacteria; Candidatus Obscuribacterales; Obscuribacteraceae (SeqCode)
Description: partial 16S ribosomal RNA
Rfam family: Bacterial small subunit ribosomal RNA
Source: RNAcentral